This 249-nucleotide ribosomal RNA is filed under the name uncultured archaeon. Its description in RNAcentral is "partial 16S ribosomal RNA". It matches the Rfam family "Archaeal small subunit ribosomal RNA", at positions 429 to 677 of the family's 1478-position model. The record is from RNAcentral.
UUCAUAGCAAGGGCCGGGCAAGACCGGUGCCAGCCGCCGCGGUAACACCGGCGGCUCGAGUGGUAACCGUUAUUAUUGGGUCUAAAGGGUUUGUAGCCGGCCGGAUAAGUCUCUUGGGAAAUCUGGCAGCUUAACUGUCAGGCUUUCAGGAGAUACUGUCUGGCUCGGAACCGGGAGAGGUGAGAGGUACUUCAGGGGUAGGGGUGAAAUCUUGUAAUCCUUGAAGGACCCCCAGUGGCGAAGGCGUCU